UAUCCGGAAUCAUUGGGCGUAAAGCGCCUGUAGGUUGUUUAAUAAGUCUGUUGUUGAAGACUAGGGCUUAACCCUAGAAGAGCAAUGGAAACUACUAGACUAGAGUAUGGCAGGGGUAGAGGGAAUUUCUAGUGUAGCGGUGAAAUGCGUAGAUAUUAGAAAGAACACCGGUGGCGAAGGCGCUCUACUGGACCAUUACUGACACUCAGAGGCGAAAGCUAGGGUAGCAAAAGGGAUUAGAUACCCCUGUAGUCCUAGCCGUAAACGAUGGAUACUACAUGUUGUGCAUUAUGUACAGUAUGGUAGCUAACGCGUUAAGUAUCCCGCCUGGGGAGUACGCUCGCAAGGGUGAAACUCAAAGGAAUUGACGGGGGCCCGCACAAGCGGUGGAGCAUGUGGUUUAAUUCGAUGCAACGCGAAGAACCUUACCAGGACUUGACAUACUACAAAUUCCUUUGAGAAAAGGAAGUGCCUUCGGGAAUGUAGAUACAGGUGGUGCAUGGCUGUCGUCAGCUCGUGUCGUGAGAUGUUGGGUUAAGUCCCGCGACGAGCGCAACCCUUAUUUUUAGUUACCAAUUCGUUGGGUUCUCUAGAAAGACUGCCGGUGACAAACCGGAGGAAGGUGAGGAUGACGUCAAGUCAGCAUGCCCCUUAUGUCCUGGGCUACACACGUGCUACAAUGGUUAAGACAAAGAGUCGCGAGCUCGUAAGGGUCAGCUAAUCUCAUAAACUUAGCCCAAGUUCAGAUUGUAGGCUGCAACUCGCUUA
RNAcentral lists this ribosomal RNA (768 nucleotides) under uncultured marine haptophyte. RNAcentral describes it as "bacterial SSU rRNA". It matches the Rfam family "Bacterial small subunit ribosomal RNA", at positions 542 to 1318 of the family's 1533-position model. Lineage: Eukaryota; Haptophyta. The record is from RNAcentral.